This 460-nucleotide ribosomal RNA is filed under the name uncultured bacterium. RNAcentral's name for it is "partial 16S ribosomal RNA". It matches the Rfam family "Bacterial small subunit ribosomal RNA", at positions 338 to 795 of the family's 1533-position model. The record is from RNAcentral.
CCUACGGGCGGCAGCAGUGAGGAAUAUUGGUCAAUGGACGAGAGUCUGAACCAGCCAAGUAGCGUGAAGGAUGACUGCCCUAUGGGUUGUAAACUUCUUUUAUAUGGGAAUAACAUGUUCCACGUGUGGGAUUUUGUAUGUACCAUAUGAAUAAGGAUCGGCUAACUCCGUGCCAGCAGCCGCGGUAAUACGGAGGAUCCGAGCGUUAUCCGGAUUUAUUGGGGUUAAAGGGAGCGUAGGUGGAUUGUUAAGUCAGUUGUGAAAGGUUGCGGCUCAACCGUAAAAUUGCAGUUGAAACUGGCAGUCUUGAGUACAGUAGAGGUGGGCGGAAUUCGUGGUGUAGCGGUGAAAUGCUUAGAUAUCACGAAGAACUCCGAUUGCGAAGGCAGCCCACUGGACUGCAACUGACACUGAGGCUCGAAAGUGUGGGUAUCAAACAGGAUUAGAUACCCGGGUAGUC